AUGUCCUCACAAAGUAAAUGCAAAAACUGCAUUACAUGGUGUGGUCUAUCAUUCAAACCUGCAUCUCAACUCUCGCAAGAAUGUUGAAGGUCGUCACGAGGUCGUCGGCCAGAAAGACCUUGGACCACUGGCAUCAAGAGAUUGAGAACUCCUGAAGAGAAUCA
Asterias rubens (European starfish) is the source of this 164-nucleotide long non-coding RNA. RefSeq lists it as uncharacterized. The record is from RefSeq and is a predicted model, not a curated record. The transcript has 3 exons. Lineage: Eukaryota; Metazoa; Echinodermata; Asteroidea; Forcipulatida; Asteriidae.